UCGAGAAUUUUUCUCAAUGGGGGAAACCCUGAAGGAGCGACGCCGCGUGGGGGAUGAAUGGCUUCGGCCCGUAAACCCCUGUCAUUUGCGAUCAAACCUUACGACCUAACACGUCGUAAGCUGAUAGUAGCGGAAGAGGAAGGGACGGCUAACUCUGUGCCAGCAGCCGCGGUAAUACAGAGGUCCCAAGCGUUGUUCGGAUUCACUGGGCGUAAAGGGUGCGUAGGCGGUCGGGUAAGUCUGACGUGAAAUCUUCGAGCUUAACUCGGAAACUGCGUCGGAUACUAUUCGGCUAGAGGAAUGGAGGGGAGACUGGAAUACUUGGUGUAGCAGUGAAAUGCGUAGAUAUCAAGUGGAACACCAGUGGCGAAGGCGAGUCUCUGGACAUUUCCUGACGCUGAGGCACGAAAGCCAGGGGAGCAAACGG
RNAcentral lists this ribosomal RNA (427 nucleotides) under uncultured bacterium. Its description in RNAcentral is "bacterial SSU rRNA". It matches the Rfam family "Bacterial small subunit ribosomal RNA", at positions 355 to 775 of the family's 1533-position model. The record is from RNAcentral.